Oryzias melastigma (Indian medaka) is the source of this 4911-nucleotide long non-coding RNA. RefSeq lists it as uncharacterized. The record is from RefSeq and is a predicted model, not a curated record. Lineage: Eukaryota; Metazoa; Chordata; Actinopteri; Beloniformes; Adrianichthyidae. The transcript has 2 exons.
CAGUAGCCCAUGCCAAAAAUAAAUAAAUAAAUCUGAUUUUGUUUGUUUCAGUGACUUAAAUUUCAAUUUGGGGAUUUAUCAUGAAUUAUUUUCCUGCAUCAGCAUUUUUUUUAAAACCUCCGAAUAGUUGGUCCAAUCCGGUUUUGACUGUUUGACUCUAAUAAGUAGACAUGCUUUCAUUAGUUGUCACAACACUGACAGAAGUUAUGCAGAAUUCAGAUUAACAACAGAAAUUCUGAGCAAUAUUUGUGCUACAUACUGAAAAGAGUAAUUAUUUGCAUGUUUAUAUUUGUUUUGCAAUUAGCUUUAGCAUGUUUUUUCAUUAUGGCUUGCAUGUUAUGCUGCGUUCACACUCAAUGCGAUUUGCACGUUGCUUUUGCAUUGUUUGUGAAAUUUGCCGUCCAAAGUUUUGUUAAAAACUUGAAGCUCCUGGCCUGUGUUGGAGAAGCUACUGUCAAUACUGUUAUAAUGUAUUACAAUGAGAAAGUAAACACAGCAUUGCUGUAACCUCUAAGUUACCAUAUGGGAUACAGCCUUCUACUCAGAAUGCUGUUUUCAUAUUUAUGAUAUAGUCUUUUAUUUCGACUCUUCUUUUGUCUUUUCUAAGAAGUAGUUUUCCGGCAUUUUAAACAUAGGUCUCACAACUUUGUGUUUAUUAUUCAGAUUAAAAUUUCCCUCAUUUUUCAUAUUUAAGCCAACCAUUAUCACUGCAGAAGUUCAGAUAGCACUACUAUUAUGUUAAAUUUUGCUGUCUUUGCAUUAAUGUUUUUUAGCUUCACUUCUUAUUUUGCAUCAAGAAACAAUAGCAGUAACAACAAUUUGUAAAAUUAACUUCAUACUAUUGCAUAACACUAUUUCAGCAAAUGGGUGUUAAGAUGGUAACAAAUUAGCAUCUAAAAAUUAAGCUGUAUUGUUGUUCUCAUCUUCUUGAAAUUUUCUGUUGCGGUUUAUUUAAUUUGUUUGACGUCAUUUGUAAAGAUUUUAGAUAUGGCUGCAUGAAGUCCCUUGUAACUGCAGAAAUAUUUUUAUGUUUGCGAAUGUGAAGAUAGCUUUUUUUAUGAGAGUUGUAAAAAGUGAUGUCUAUGUAUAUUUUGUAUAUGUGAUGAUAUAAAGUUGAUGACAUGAAGAUAUCAAAACUAGGACAUUUAAUUAAUAUCUAAAUACGCACAAGCUUCCCAAUGUCAAGCUUUUGAAUUCAAAACCGGCUCAAGUCCCCAGCCGGCUUCUUCUUGAUAAUAUGGAAGAACCCAAUCGUAACAAAAAUAACAAUAAUUUCCACAAAAUGGGAAAAAAGUUGAUAAAACACAGGGAGAAGAUCUACAGAUUUGUCAGUCUCUGUGACUUUUUGGUGUUUGGACUAAAGCUUACAUAGAAAAAAGACAAGACAACUGGGUUGAUGAGGAGAGUAAAUUGUGAAGCCACACAAAAAAGUACAAUUUUUACUUUUAUGCAUUAGGGCAAAUUUUAAGUCAUCAGGUCUUUAACAAACUGGUCAACUUCAUAUAAACAACCCUUGAAGUGUUACAGAAAUUCAGCAAAAGCUGGAAUAAUAUUUAAAAACAUUUUGAUGAACAAACAAACCAAACUUCAAAGUCUAAAAAAGAACAGAGAAAAAAAGCCACAUGUUUUCCUAAGUUUUGAACAAAGUCAGCGAAACUUAGAAAUAAACUUUUGUUCAAACCACAAUCUAGAAAACAUGUAUUUGAACAGUGAUACUGAAGCUCCAAAAACAGACGGCAAGAAAUACAGCUCAAACAGCUUGAGGCAAAACAUCCAACACUUGUGACUUUAAAGUCUUUUGUUACAAAUCCAACUUUAAGGAAACUCAUCUUGAAAAUCAGUCAAUUAGCUUUUUUAGAAGACAGCUUAGAAUAAGCAUUCUGGCACAAACAAGUAAAGACUGAAGCGUGAUGGUGAAAAAAGGGCUUCACUGCUGCUCAAUCAUUCUCUCUGCAAAAUAACAAGCCCUUUCCAUACUAGACCAUGUUUACAAAUAAGAACGUUUUCAUAAUUCUUGCUUUGUCAAAUUCAUUCUUGAUUAUUUGUAUGUGAUUUGUAGUCUGUGUGCAUUCAAAUUGUUGUGAUCUGUGCCAGAGUUCACUUGCAGGUACACUUGGUAAAACCUCAGUUAGCCCCGACUUGAGUUCGUAUGAGCUCUCACACAGAAGAAAUUGAACCGUCCAAGGUACAAACUUUGGUGCAGACCAAAUGCAGCAAUGUGAAAGUGCCUUCAGAGGUCAAGACAAAGUUGUAUUGGUGUUAUUACUGCAAAAGCUGGUUGAAAAAUCAAUUCCUACAGUUUAAGUCCUUGUUAAAUAGCCAUUAUUGGUAUGUUGUUUGUUUAUCUGCUGUUUUAUUUAUCAGACGAUGUGUUGUAUGACAUGAUCUAGAAAACAUCAGAAUUGACGAUCAGUGCACUGUUGUUUGGACAUAUUUGUAUUUUGUCCCAAAAGUUAAAAUGAUUAUUCUGCUCUUGCACACAAUGAUGUGUCUGCUACAGGAAAUGAUAUAGAAGAGCCUUUGCUGUCCCUUCUUUGUGGAGGAGUGCAUUUCUCAGGGCUCAAGAACCUUUUUGAAGCAAUGUUUCCUCUUCCUGAAAAAGCUCAACCAUCUUUUUCUUGUCUUUUACAUUAGCCUUAAAAACAGAUCGUCAUACCAUCUCUACGACUCUCUUAUUAACCCAUUUCUUGUAAAUGGUUCCUGGUUCUGCCAAGUCUCCUCAACAGGGGCAGCUACUCUUUGUUUCAGUCUCUUGAGAAAGACGUACUCUUCCUUCCUCCCGCUCCACGUCUCUGUAUAGGAGGGAUUUUUGAGCUUUCAGACGACAUGCCAAAGACAUGAAGAUGGAAUCAACAUUCUGGCUCUCCUUGGGGUCCUUUGCCGAUGUCUCAAACAGCAGCAUGUUGUGGGCAUCAGCAAACUUAAGCGCUGUGUUGGAGGGGACCUGGGGAGACAUCCGGAGACGGACAUGAACAAGGACUGAUGGAUAAAGUCUAAAACCAGGACAAAAUCUGUGCAUGCACACCUGUAUUUGAUCCACAAGGUCGCAUUUGUUUCCCACCAAGACCCGAGGAACCGACGCAGACACUCGAUGGCCGUUACAUUCCUGAAGUUGGGAAAACAAGAUAUGAAUGGCAAAUUUAUACACUUUGAGAACAAAGUUGUUGAAGAGCACCAAAGAAACUGGGACUCCUUAAAAAAAGUUCAAAGUUCAUAAAUUAUGAAGGGACUUGUUCAAUAAUGGAUUCAUAGGCAAAUUUAGAAAGUAAGCUGUUGCUGGACAAAGAAAACAUGAGAUGUGUUUUCUAUUUGUGAAAAAUGUCUGUGGAUGACCAAUGAGAAUGUAUUAAAUUAUUAAUCCAUCACAGAUUUUGACCCCAAAAUGAAAUGAAUUUCUAUAAAAUACUUAAUUCUAAAGAACUUGGAAAAACCUUUGUAAUUAUAGUCUCAUACUGAAGUAGCUCUUUGUCAUCAUAAUUGUAUAUCUUGUCAUUUUGAGAGCUAAAUGAUCAGUAAUGCGACACUGUUAAGUUUAACAAAACAAGGAAGGCACAGAAUUGUCAUGUUAGUCAAAAUGGUGGCAUAUGAGCUUUUGUAUUAUUGCGUUAACUGUGAAAACACUUUCAAGCCCCACUCCAACCGUAUUUUUUCUAUAUAAAUGAAUUCCCAGUGGUAUUUCAGUUAUGAUUAUGUAGUUUUUCUGCAAAAAUAAAAAAAUCCUGUGUUGUUUCUCUAGGAAAUUUUCUCCAGAGCAACAGGAGCUCAUUUGAAAUUCGCCUCUUGAGUUUUUGGCAGGACUGUUGGUAGGGAAGUUAGCCUCUACUAAUUUCCCUUCAACCCUUUCCUCACACUCUCUCCUGUUAGCUUAUAGCACCUCACAAUCCCAAGCUAACAAGUAUAGAGCAAUAUCGGAGCUACCCAGCCAUACAGUUCUGAGCCAGAUGGCAGCUCAGGGGAGGAAAACAAAGAUCUGUUUGUCUGCAAGUGGAUGCUUAAGAGUUGUAGCGGAGCAGGGAGGCUUUAGCCUGCCCAUGGCAUUUGUUGCAUCGCAAACCCAAGCUUUUUCGAAUUGCAGGUUUUCAUCUGGUCCUGAUCCAACACAAAUUAAAUAAAGAAAUACUCAGAAAUGCAGUUUUGAUCUUAAAUUCUUUGAUAUAUAUCCUCCAUCACGAGAAAAAUGCUACAAGAACAUGUUAAAAACACAAUUUUCACUGGAGUGGAUCUUUAAGUGCUUUAACAAUGUGCUUAAGUCUUGAACAAAAUUCAAACCUCAAUCCAUGUCUGCAGGUUACGAUAGGAAGCCAUGUUGGUGACAUCAUACACAAAGACCACUGCAUGCACGUUUCUGUAGUAGUGCUCCACCAUGGACUUCCGGAAACGUUCCUGGCCUGCCGUGUCCCACACUUGUACCUGUAGAAACAUGAUGGUGGUGCAAAUUUAUUUUUGUAGCCAGUAAGCCAAACAGCAAAAACAGAGGCACAAAAACAGCAGUUUUAAUAUUUAACUUUUUACAUCAUUUUUCACAUCUAACACUAACCCUUUUUUAGAUCACUUGUUUAUGUCAUCUAUAAUGAUUAUUUUGUAAAUGUAUAUUUGUGAAAUCUGCCUAUCAAAUAUGAUAUUUUACUUUGUUUCUUCUGGGUUUAAUCUGUGGGGUGUUGUUUUUAUUUUAUUGUUUUAAAUGUUCAUAAAUUUGAAAGUCUUUAUUUUCUAAAUGAAUUUUGAAAUAAGAUGUUAUAAAAAAAGGUCAUCAUUAGGGUUGGAAAGAGUCCACGGCAUUAAUCUGAAAAUAUGUUUCACCAAAAAUUGCAAAAUUUGUAGCGAAGUGUUGAAGAUGUUUUCAAAAUAUGUUAAUCACAGGAGUGUUGCCCAGUUGGCAUAAUCUUCCAUAAAUUCAAUGUUGCACUUUUU